AAGACCCCCCUCCCUCUUCUGAAGCUCAGUGUGCUCUGAUUGGUCAGCUUCCCGGCAGCAACUACACGUUCUGCGUACAUCUUGCUUCCUCAGCAGCUGUAAACAAACGGUAGUGGCUGUUAUAAUGGCGUCGGUUCUGGCUCAACAGUUUGAGCGGGAGUCCAAUCUUGAAGAAGAAGAUGACAGACCCGGUCCACCUCACAAGCUACAAGCUGGAACAAGAAAACAAGUGUACCCACUGCCAGGCAAUCGGAAGGAGGGAAAUGGCGGAGAGACAUGGAGAGAAGUGUUGCAAAUAAAGUCGCUGGACAGUGCAAUCGACUUAACUAUAUUCAUAACUUGGAAUAAUUUUGUAAAAAAUAAAAAAUAAAGACUUAAACAAAAAAAAUCUGUGGACACUUAAGGAUCUAAGGAAUACAAACAAUAGAAGAAUGGACAGACAAGGACUUAACCUCAAAGGGAUGGCAGAAUCCACCUCAGGCCAGAACCAUACCUUGCCGAAACCAGCAAGAAACGGAUCAGGUGGGACCGCGGAUGGAGCCUUGUUGAACACCUUUUCGUGGCGAAGAAGAAAAAAAAGAAAAAAGAUAAGACAUUCAGAUACCUCCCCGCAAGCUCUCGGCAUCUUUAACGAGGACCAUAAAAAAUAACGAGCCAUCUUAACCUUGAGGCCGACCCAGGAAGUGAACACUGAGUAGAGUAUACUGAGCUGAUCAAGGUAACCCCCCACCGCGAGCGGGCCCUUACAUCCCUGCCUUUUUACCUCCGUGACCUGGAAACGCCUCAGCUCCCACCCC
Seriola aureovittata is the source of this 797-nucleotide long non-coding RNA. RefSeq lists it as uncharacterized. NCBI's taxonomy places the organism in Eukaryota, Metazoa, Chordata, Actinopteri, Carangiformes, Carangidae. The transcript is spliced from 4 exons. The record is from RefSeq and is a predicted model, not a curated record.